Molecule: ribosomal RNA, 497 nt
Filed under: uncultured bacterium
Lineage: Bacteria
Description: partial 16S ribosomal RNA
Rfam family: Bacterial small subunit ribosomal RNA
Source: RNAcentral
AUUGAACGCUGGCGGCAUGCUUUACACAUGCAAGUCGAACGGCAGCGCGAGCUUCUUCCUUCCCGCGUGUUGCGAACGGGUGAGUAAUUCAUCGGUACGUGCCCUGUAUAUAAGGCUAGCCCGACUAAAGCCAGAUUAAGAUCGCAUACGACCUUAUUUUGAACGCCGUGGACCGAAAGUGCACGCCGUUUUUGAUCUCACGUAUAGAUAUUUGCGAGCUGGAUUGGCUAGUUGGUAGGGUAACGGCUUACCAAGGCUACGAUGCGUAGCCGGCCUGAGAGGACGACCGGCCACACUGGGACUGAGACACGGCCCAGACUCCUACGGGAGGCAGCAGUGGGGAAUUUUGGGCAAUGGGGGAAAGCCUGAUCGAGCAAUGCCGCGUGAGGGAAGAAGGCCUUCGGGUUGUAAACCGCUUUUGUUCGGGAAGAAAAUAUGUGGGAUAAUCCGCCGGGGGGAUGACGGUACCGGAAGAAUAAGCACCGGCUAACUACGUG